UCCAGACUCCUACGGGAGGCAGCAGUGGGGAAUAUUGGGCAAUGGGCGCAAGCCUGACCCAGCAACGCCGCGUGAAGGAAGAAGGCUUUCGGGUUGUAAACUUCUUUUGUCAGGGACGAAGCAAGUGACGGUACCUGACGAAUAAGCCACGGCUAACUACGUGCCAGCAGCCGCGGUAAUACGUAGGUGGCAAGCGUUAUCCGGAUUUACUGGGUGUAAAGGGCGUGUAGGCGGGGAGGCAAGUCAGAUGUGAAAUCCCAAGGCUCAACCUUGGAACUGCAUUUGAAACUGUUGGUCUUGAGUAUCGGAGAGGCAGGCGGAAUUCCUAGUGUAGCGGUGAAAUGCGUAGAUAUUAGGAGGAACACCAGUGGCGAAGGCGGCCUGCUGGACGACAACUGACGGUGAGGCGCGAAAGCGUGGGGAGCAAACAGGAUUAGAUACCCGGGUAC
This 449-nucleotide ribosomal RNA is filed under the name uncultured bacterium. RNAcentral describes it as "bacterial SSU rRNA". It matches the Rfam family "Bacterial small subunit ribosomal RNA", at positions 330 to 793 of the family's 1533-position model. The record is from RNAcentral.